GGGCCUCCAAUUUUGAAACACCUUGAAAUUGCCUUCGGGGCCUUUCUAGUGGCGCCGAACGAUGCCUUUUGUAUGUUUUGUUGCCGCAAAAUUCCGCCAUAUCGCAGCGUGUUUGGCCGCUGCUGCGAUUUUUCGCUGGAGCAAUUGCUGCAGUUAUUGAUGCGAUGGACGAUGCUCAUGGAUUACUCGUUUGUUACCAGUAUUGCUACUGUGACUGCGGUCCCGGGGUCAGAUGGCGAAGCCUGCGUCAUUGAAUUUCCCCCCUUGCGUUCAGUGCAUCGUGCAUUCUUACUCCACAGAGCCGUAAUGUGAAUUUUGGAUGGGCGGAUUUUGGACGUCGAGCUAGUGAUUAUUCGCAUGCGGUGCAUAGCUUUAAUCCUGCGAGAGACAACGUUGGUCAAAAGUCCUUUCACUGCUGGUGCACCGGGAGUUUUUCUGGUUUCACGUGUGCGGAGGAUUUCGGAUUUUUUUUUUUUUUUUUUUUUUUUUUUUUUUUGGAUUGCUAUGGAUUUGGUCGUUUUGCCAGUCGCCCGAUUUUGGACGCAUCGUUGUGGUGGAGGCGAGGUUCGAAAUCCUGCUGUAUUUCUCAUGAAAUUUGGAAGAGAGAGAAUUUUUCGCCCUGCGUGAUCAAAGGCAGAUGGCGCAGCAGAUUCGCUGCAAGGCAGCAGAAGACAGGGUUUGUAGGAGAAAGCAUCAGAAGCUCUGUGAUGUUAUUGGAUUUCUAUUUGAUAAGGGAGCUUCUUCCUCUUAUUUUGAGCACUGAGGCGUUCACUUUACUGGGAGUUUCGAUUGGUCGGAGACUACGCUUCAUCCUCUAGACUAGGGCCGGAAGUAAUGGCAUUAAUUGAAAAAACAAGUUUUUCAUUUCGCAGCAGUCUUCUUUGUACGCAAAUUUUCUUCUUUCGCCUCCCGCCCUGCGAGCUGCGGGUUUAGGGAGUUUACGAAUGUUGCGGCCAACUCUCAUGUUGUUUCUGACUAUUACUGCCCUCCACUUGUUUCUUGCUGAGGUACGCAGUGGUUGCACAGGGUAUAACACCACGUUCAAAUCGAAUGGCCAUCGAAGCUGCCAACGCAACCGUGACAAGAUGACAAGGGCGUCCUGCGCUUCCUUCAGUCGGCCCAUUAUAUAUCCAGGAUACGGGAAAAUAUGGUUUAUUUUUACCUGAAAAACUAAGCGGUUAUGGAUACUCAAUUGUCUUAUUCCUUUUGUAUUUUUCAUAGGAUAGUCAUAAUAUAGUGGAAUUUUCAAAGAAUGAAAUUAUAUCUUGUUGAGGAUGCUUUUUCAAAGAAUUGCACUUCAUGAAUUGUUGGAGAUUGGAUUAGUCCGCUUUUUGUCAGCUCAUUGAAGCACCUUGAAAUACUUGCAGAAAACAUAGGCUUAAGUACCUACUCUAUGCUCAAGGGUUUGAUGGUUACAGCUCGUUGCUAACAGUCACUUUCGUGCAACUAGAGAUAGCGUCAGUCUCUAUUGACGGCCGUUGCAUUCCCGUUUUAGAGUUUCUUCGUCAAUGUUGCGCUCCUGCAAGGUUAUUAGAGGAUUAGCAUGCAAUGGAGGAACAGGUUCUUGCUUAAUAUUUUAGUGCUACGCUGGAUGUUAAUAAAUAAUCUGGCUUUUGUAGGGAGUCCAAAACGAGGAAACUUCUGUGAGAAGUUCUCAAUCUGAAGUGGAUACAGCUUUGUCUGUCAAGAGAGUGGUUUUGGCGGAAAAGGCGAUAUGGGAUGAGGAUCAAAGAUUGUGUAUUUUGAAUAACGGUUGUGAAUAAUUGCUGGGAAAGGUGCCACACAGCAGAGGGUUCAAUAGAAAGGGGGACUCGCAAAGUGAUAGAAUCUAUUUGCAGGGUGUACGGCAAUUUAGCUCUGAAUGUAUGUGCAAUACGCCUCUUAAUUCAGACGGAUGUUUUUAAACCCCCUGAGUGGUUUGUUUUAUUUUUGUAUUUCAUAGUUUG
Molecule: non-coding RNA, 1946 nt
Organism: Physcomitrium patens
Lineage: Eukaryota; Viridiplantae; Streptophyta; Bryopsida; Funariales; Funariaceae
Source: RefSeq, a predicted model, not a curated record